This 1388-nucleotide ribosomal RNA is filed under the name metagenome. RNAcentral's name for it is "bacterial SSU rRNA". It matches the Rfam family "Bacterial small subunit ribosomal RNA". The record is from RNAcentral.
AGAGUUUGAUCCUGGCUCAGGAUGAACGCUGGCGGUAUGCCUAACACAUGCAAGUCGAACGGUCACUUUCGAGUGAUAGUGGCGGACGGGUGAGGAACGCGUGAGAAUCUGCCUUGAGGUCGGGGACAACAGUUGGAAACGACUGCUAAUACCGGAUGAGCUGAAAAGUCAAAGAUUUAUCGCCUCGAGAGGAGCUCGCGUCUGAUUAGCUAGAUGGUGAGGUAAAGGCUUACCAUGGCGACGAUCAGUAGCUGGUCUGAGAGGAUGAGCAGCCACACUGGGACUGAGACACGGCCCAGACUCCUACGGGAGGCAGCAGUGGGGAAUUUUCCGCAAUGGGCGCAAGCCUGACGGAGCAAUACCGCGUGAGGGAGGAAGGCUCUUGGGUUGUAAACCUCAAAACUUAGGGAAGAAGAAAGUGACGGUACCUAAUGUAAGCAUCGGCUAACUCCGUGCCAGCAGCCGCGGUAAUACGGAGGAUGCAAGCGUUAUCCGGAAUCAUUGGGCGUAAAGAGUCCGUAGGUGGCAAUUCAAGUCUGCUGUCAAAGACCGAAGCUCAACUUCGGGCCGGCGGUGGAAACUGAAAAGCUAGCUAUAGUAGGGGUAGAGGGAAUUCCUAGUGUAGCGGUGAAAUGCGUAGAGAUUAGGAAGAACACCAGUGGCGAAGGCGCUCUACUGGGCAUAUACUGACACUGAGGGACGAAAGCUAGGGUAGCGAAAGGGAUUAGAUACCCCUGUAGUCCUAGCGGUAAACGAUGGAUACUAGGUGUUGUCUGUAUCGACCCAGACAGUGCCGAAGCAAACGCGUUAAGUAUCCCGCCUGGGGAGUACGCACGCAAGUGUGAAACUCAAAGGAAUUGACGGGGACCCGCACAAGCGGUGGAGUAUGUGGUUUAAUUCGAUGCAACGCGAAGAACCUUACCAAGGCUUGACAUCCUGCGAAUUGAGAGGAAACUCACAAGUGCCUUCGGGAACGCAGAGACAGGUGGUGCAUGGCUGUCGUCAGCUCGUGUCGUGAGAUGUUGGGUUAAGUCCCGCAACGAGCGCAACCCUCGUCCUUAGUUGCCAGCAUUCAGUUGGGGACUCUAGGGAGACCGCCGGGGAGAACUCGGAGGAAGGUGGGGAUGACGUCAAGUCAGCAUGCCCCUUACGUCUUGGGCUACACACGUACUACAAUGGUGGAGACAAAGGGAAGCGAAGCCGCGAGGUGAAGCGAAUCCCAGCAAACUCUGCCCCAGUUCAGAUUGCAGGCUGAAACUCGCCUGCAUGAAGGAGGAAUCGCUAGUAAUCGCAGGUCAGCAUACUGCGGUGAAUCCGUUCCCGGGUCUUGUACACACCGCCCGUCACACCAUGGAAGUUGGUCACGCCCGAAGUCGUUACUCCAACCC